This is a long non-coding RNA of Acipenser ruthenus (sterlet), 2033 nucleotides long. RefSeq lists it as uncharacterized. The record is from RefSeq and is a predicted model, not a curated record. NCBI's taxonomy places the organism in Eukaryota, Metazoa, Chordata, Actinopteri, Acipenseriformes, Acipenseridae. The transcript has 7 exons.
AUUAGGAACACCUGCUCUUUCCAUGAAAUAGACUGACAAGGUGAAUCCAGGUGAAAGCUAUGAUCCCUUAUUGAUGUAACCUGUUAAAUCCACUUCAAUCAGUGUAGAUGAAGGGGAGACAGGUUAAAGAAGGAUUUUUAAGCCUUGACACAAUUGAGACAUGGAUUGUGUAUGUGUGCCAUUCAGAGGGUAAAUGCGCAAGACAAAAGAUUUACACCUUGAUGAUGUCUUGCAAUGCCUCACUGACCAAGUGGAUGUAACACAGACAUUUUCUAUCUGUGUUUCACGGUCCAGCCUUUUUCAAAGAGGUUUGCAGCAAUGACAGAGACAAAAAAACCCUCUCCAGAAUGCAGUCUGCAUGUGUCUUUUUUGGGGAAGCAGGAAUUGACACAGGAGCCUUGCAAAAGGAGUUCCUUACUUAAAUGAUUUCUGGAAUUGGGAAAUGCUUCUUUGAAUAAGGGCUUGACAAGAAAGGGAAGAACCUUAUUUACUUACUGAGUGACUUGGACCACAGCUACUUCAGUUAGCUUGGCUCAAAGUGGUCCAGCACCCACCUUUAUGCGUGAAUGGUGCUUUACUUACUUUGCAACUGGAGACCUUGACAAGCUGGCACUUUCCUCAGACGAUGUCACAGAUCAGGAAUCUUUCUCAGCUCAUUUCAAAGGUUUCAAAUGCAACAGAUGACAGCAUAUCCCUUCUAGUUGGAGACAUUUUGAGCUGUGGAUAUACAGGUGUCAUAUUCACUGAAAAAAAAGACAAAAUUAUAAGCCAGACGCAGACUUCAUAAUGACGAACAGUGUUCCCCAUUUAAGUGAAAAGGGGACCAUAAGGCACAGCCUAGAAAUUGAUGUUCUGAACUACUUCCAAGACUUUCUCCAGGAGGCAGAGGACACAGAUGGAAGUGGAGAACCAAAAGAUGGAGCUGGAUCAGACACCACAGAAAUGGAGAGCAACAACUCAGAAGUAAUCUCGGUUCCUGGUAUCCUGCAGUGGCUAACAGGCCAGGCACACAAGCCCAUCCUACCAAAUGAGAAAAAUGACUUUUCCAUCCAUAUCAAGUUUAACCAUGACUGCCAGGAAGAGAAUGUUUCCCACAAAUACCAUCACUUUGCCUACUGUGCACAUGAAAUCCUACAAUGAGUACACUUUCUCUAGAGUAUAAUGUUUCUGCUGUGCUGCAAAAUAAUUGACUAAAUAGCCGGUUGUUUAAAGAGUAACUAAAUACCUUUUUGUUGCUACAAUUGUUACAUGUUCUCACGUGUUGCUACAACAGUUAAAAUAAGGUGUAUGUACUGUUUAUUUUUGUUUUGCAUCUUAACCACUUUUUUAACUUUUAAAUUGCAAUUCAUUGCCUCCCAGAUGGCUUCACAUCGUCCUGCCAAAAUAUAUUAAUAUUUUUACUUUUUUUCUUACUCCAAAUAACAUGUGUGAUCAGAAAAUACCAAGGCUCAUUUCUGUAAGUUUUAGCCUUGUGUCACAAAAGUUCUAUUUGUAAUUUAAAAAAAAAUGACACCAGUAGUAAAAUAAAUAUUCUUUGUUUUAUAAAUAUACAUUUUCACCAAAAAUCCAGCCUGCAGUUUUUUCUGAGGGUAGAAUCAAAGGUCCACUUCCAGUUAUACUUUUUUCUUUUUCAAAAUUAAAUUUUAAUACAGUUGAUUAGCUGAUGUAAACAUAACUCAAGAAUUACUUUGAGUUUGUAUCUGUACAUACAUUACCUUUAAUGUGACAAGUGUAUCUAUAGUUGGCAGUAUCAGUAUCAUGUAGUGGCCACUGACUGUGUACGAGGUUUCUUUGACAACAGUAGAGAAGCUGGAAGCUUUAAUCAGUUCAUACAUCAGGAAAUGGUUGGGAGUUCCAUGCUGCCUCAGCAGAGUGGGACUUUAUGGUAAAGGAAUACUGCAGCUACCAGUCGCCACUCUAACCGAGGAGUUUAAGUGCACCAAGAUCUGACUGGAAAUGACAUUAGUAGAGUCACGUGACAAAUGUGUAAGGGAGGCAGCACCUGUGUUGAAAACUGGAAGAAAGUGGGUGGC